This 398-nucleotide ribosomal RNA is filed under the name Streptococcus sp. oral taxon 066. Its description in RNAcentral is "bacterial SSU rRNA". It matches the Rfam family "Bacterial small subunit ribosomal RNA", at positions 28 to 416 of the family's 1533-position model. The record is from RNAcentral. Lineage: Bacteria; Bacillati; Bacillota; Bacilli; Lactobacillales; Streptococcaceae.
GAUGAACGCUGGCGGCGUGCCUAAUACAUGCAAGUAGAACGCUGAAGCUUGGUGCUUGCACCGAGCGGAUGAGUUGCGAACGGGUGAGUAACGCGUAGGUAACCUGCCUGGUAGCGGGGGAUAACUAUUGGAAACGAUAGCUAAUACCGCAUAACAGUAGAUAUUGCAUGAUAUCUGCUUGAAAGGGGCAAUUGCUCCACUACCAGAUGGACCUGCGUUGUAUUAGCUAGUUGGUGAGGUAACGGCUCACCAAGGCGACGAUACAUAGCCGACCUGAGAGGGUGAUCGGCCACACUGGGACUGAGACACGGCCCAGACUCCUACGGGAGGCAGCAGUAGGGAAUCUUCGGCAAUGGACGGAAGUCUGACCGAGCAACGCCGCGUGAGUGAAGAAGGUU